CAGAUACUCACAGAAGAUUCCCUGGAAGAGGCCUUAAGUGGCCUGUGGCUCCAGUUCAGCAGCCUGAAUACUGUGUGGGCUGCGCGUGGUGACUAUUUGUGCUCUAUAUGAAAAUUUUUGUUCUUGAUUUUUCCAAAAUUUAUCGAGUUUUGCCUCAAAACUCUCUACUGAGUCAGCGUUCACUACCCACUCUGGCAAACUGUUCCAGGUAUUAACCACCCGGUUGGGGAAUGAAAACUUCCGAACAUUCAGCCUAGCUCUUGGUUUAAAGAUUUUCUUAGAGUUUCCCCGUGUGGUGCUAUCUUCCCUUAAAUCAAAAAGUCCCUCUGUACAAUCUAUAUCAUAUUUCCUGGUUACAAUUUUAAAAGUUUCAAUUUGGUCUCCCCGGGAUCUUCUAUAUGCCAGUGUGGGCAACUCAAGCUGUCUCAGUCUCUCUCCAUAUGGCAGGUCUUUCAGGCAAGGCACCAGCUUCGUUGCUCUUCGCUGCACGUUCUCCACAGCCUCAACAUCCUUCACCAGGUGUGGACUCCAUACCUGGUUGGCAUAUUCUAAAUGGGGUCUUACCAAUGCAGUGUAGAGUGUCUUGAAUACUGCAGGGUCAAGAUGCUGGACUUUGUGGACCCUGGCGGCCAUGAGGAGGUGUCCGUGGGCGCUGGGCAAGGCCGAGAGCGAGGAGUACAGCACACUGGAUGAGGGGGACCAUGGAUGGUGCAGGGCUCUCAGGAGAUGGACAAGCAGAAACAGGGGACCAGAACUCACAGGUGUUCUUUAUUGAGUGUGUGAGUGCUGCUGUCGUCACCAUGAACACCUGCUCGGAGGCACCAAGACCCAUCAAGCCAGUCCGCCAUGCAAGACUGCCUGGUCAAGAUGGGGUCCAGCCUUGCACAGAACUGCUUGGCUGGCCAGUGCCACAAGUUGGUGGUGACAAAGUAAAGCCCUCCAUGACUGCUACAGCCUGAUGGAUCUCAAGGUGUGUGGUGACCCAGGCUGUGGAGGGUGGCUGCCACACUCACUGCUCCAGCCACUCACAGCUGUACCUCAGGAGCCAGACACCAUCUGCUUCACUCCUGCCCAGACUUUGCCACUCACACACAACAGCUGCUUCAUCUUAAGGAUCAGCGAUGUGGAACCAGCUGUACCACCACCACCACCACCACCAGGGGAGCCACUCACUGCCACAAGAAGGAAGGAAGCAGGAAGAAGAAGAAGAAGAAGAAGAAAAAGAAGAGGACACACAGAGAGAGAAGAGGAGGAAGAAGAAGAGGAAGGAUUUGUAAUAUGGCAGACAUCAAACCAAUGGAGCUGACCAGCCGCCCCAGAGAGCCCAGCGACCACACCCUGCAAGACAGCCUGCUCAUCCUGGGACACACACAGCCUCACCGUUCAGGCAGGAGACUGACGGGACGAGAACAACAACAACAACAACAACAAGAGGAGGAGGGGGAGGAGGGUGGUACACAGGAGUGACUGGUGGGUGUUUGGUGACCCAGGGCGUUGAGGGAAGCCAGACGCUCUCCUAUAGGGCUUCAGGCAGAUACAACUCCCUCAUCACCUGCUUCACUCCAGCCCAGACUUUGCCACUCACACCCAACAGCUUCAUCUUAAGGCAGAAGAAGAAGAAGAAGAAGAAGAAGAAAACACACAGAGAGAGAAGAGGAGGAAGAAGAAGAGGAAGGACUUGUAAUAUGGCAGACAUCAAACCAAUGAAUUGAACAGCUGAAUGGACUCCAUCUCUUGAGGGGCGGCUUCGUAUCCCAGCGUGAUCUCCUGCAAGGCAUCCCAGCACACACCACAUGCUCUGGAGGGGGAGAGAACGACAAGAUGAAUCGGCCUUGUCUUGGAGGAAAUGUACUCUGUUUUGACUUUGCUCUCAAUAAACAUAGACCCUAA
Molecule: long non-coding RNA, 1890 nt
Organism: Eriocheir sinensis (Chinese mitten crab)
Lineage: Eukaryota; Metazoa; Arthropoda; Malacostraca; Decapoda; Varunidae
Exons: 12
Source: RefSeq, a predicted model, not a curated record